AUGAGCAUCUGGCUCCAGAGAAGACGAACGAAAAUAUGUUGUUCCCUCAUCCUUUUCCCAUGUGUAUUCCUGUUUGUAACAGGGGUAACAGGACAGCAGAGCACCAUGGAUCAACAAGCUUCAGAUGUUAACUGCAACUCGUCCAAAGGUUCGUCUCCGGCAAUAAUUACACUAAGUGUUCUAGGAGCCUCAAGCAUCAUCUUGAAUUUUGUACUAAGUUAUGAACAGAAAAAGCAAGGUAAGAUAUUAGUGGAAUUCUCUUGCAUUUCAUAGUACCUUCCUACCAAACAAGAAUACAGUGAUCAGCCACUGUCAGCAAGGCCCAUGCCCUCAAGCAUCAAAGCCAUCCACGGCAGACAUGACAGAGGGCUGACAGCAGCCUCGUGCCCUUCUGGAACAUGAGCUGGAGCCAAGUGCAAUACUCAGGGAACCCAUCACAGGAGGCAGAGCACGGGAUCUGACUAC
This 465-nucleotide long non-coding RNA is filed under the name Calidris pugnax (ruff). RNAcentral's name for it is "lncRNA (ENSCPUG00000017360.1)". The record is from RNAcentral. Lineage: Eukaryota; Metazoa; Chordata; Aves; Charadriiformes; Scolopacidae.